This is a non-coding RNA of Cristinia sonorae, 103 nucleotides long. The record is from the annotation of a GenBank genome assembly. Lineage: Eukaryota; Fungi; Basidiomycota; Agaricomycetes; Agaricales; Stephanosporaceae.
CCUUCGAUAGCUCAGUUGGAAGAGCGUAAGACUGUAAUUGGCUACGUAAUCAUGCGUGCAUCAUGUGAUCUUAAUGUCGCUGGUUCGAUCCCGGCUCGAAGGA